UUUACUCUACUUUCCUUAACAAUGUUUGUUUAUGUGUUUAUGUACUUGGCAGACGCUUUUGUCCAAAGCAAAUACCGUAUUUUCCGCACUGUAAGGCGCACCGGAGUAUAAACCGCAGCAGCUAAAUUGAAUGAUGUGUACAUAUAUAAGACGCACUGGACUAUAAGCCGCAGGUGUUUUAAUGUUUAAUUACCAUUAGGGCUGGCCCGAAUGCCAUUUUUCAGGCUUCGGAUACUCGUUGGUUUUUCCGAGCGAUUAAUCGAAUACUCGUUCCAGAAAAAAACACCACCAAAAAUAACAUUAAUAAUCCCUAUAUACUCCCUGGAACCGAUUAUGACAGUAUCUGCAUAUUUUGUUGAAGAUUUAAUAGCUUUUUACCGUUAAUUAGUAGGCCUAAGUAGGUUGAAGUUCCUUAGUUUUUCCCUGUGGAAGCGAACAGCUGUUGUUCCGUUCCGAAUCAAGUGUGUGUGUGUGUGUGUGUGUGUGUGUGUGUGUGUGUGUGUGUGUGUGUGUGUGUGUGUGUGUGUGUGUGUGUGUGUGUGUGUCAAUAUGUGAUGCUCACCUAGUCCUCUUAUUUUGAGUAAUGAAAUGCAGCCCUUUUUUCAGGAAUGUAUGGACAAACUGAACCUCAGGAACUUGGUGUCUAUUUCAAUGGAUGGGCCCAAUGUGAAUUGGAAACUCUUCGACCUUUUCCAGAAAGAUCAAGCUGAGCAGUACGGAGGUGAGGAGUUUAUAAUGCUAUUACUGUGUGUGUGGGUGUGUGUUUCUGAUCCAUUAGUAAUUAUAAAAAUGUAUUUUAUUUGUAGUGCACUUAACAUUGAAUAAACACUUUCAAAGUUCUAAUUUGGUUUCUAAUAUCAAGUUUGCAUUGAAACCUUUAGGUCUUCAGCUCGUUUGUGUGGGAAGCUGUGGCCUACACACGCUACACAACUCCUUCAAGUGUGGGUUCACUGUAUGGCAGCUGGACAAAUUGCUGAGAGCAAUGCACACAUUGUUUCACAAUACGCCUGCCAGGAGAGAGGAUUACAUCACCGUAACCAAGUCCAGUGUGUUCCCUCUAUCUUUCUGUGCCCAUCGUUGGGUAGAAAACCUUCCGGUUGUGGAGAGAGCCCUGGCAGUCUGGCCAUCACUUCUCCUGUACAUGGAAGCUGUGAAAACAAAGAGACUCCCGAACCCUGGAACAGCAUCAUAUGACACACUUGCAGCAGCCAUAAAGGAUCCACUCGUCUUGGCCAAAUUGCAGUUCUACGCAGCAAUUGCCAGGACCUUCAAUCCCUUCCUGAAAAAAUAUCAGACGGAUGAGCCUGUGCUCCCAUUCCUCCCCAAGGACCUGACCGAGUUGAUGAUGAGUCUACUCAGACGCUUCAUAAAAAGAGAAGUACUACACGAUAUCACUGCCCUGCAGCUGACCAAACUGGAUGUCACAGACAAGACCAUCUGGCUCAGCCCACAAGACAUCAGCAUUGGUCUAGGUGCAGAGUCAGUCCUUAAGAGAAUCAAAGGUGCAGAACUCAGGGUGCUCGAGUUCAAGAGAGAGUGCAUGCAGGGACUGAGUAACAUGAUCAAGAAAGUGCAGGACAAGAGCCCCCUCAAGUAUCUGACUGUUAGGCAGAUGGUGUGCCUGGAUCCGUCAGUAAUGUAUAGAGAACCAGAUAGAGGCAGGAAUCGCAUGAAAGGGCUGGUUCAAAGGUUUCUCCAGGACAAACAGCUUACUGAUACUUCUUUGGGUAAGAAUAAGGCAAAUUAUUUUGACAGUCUCCUGUCCUUGGAGAGCCGGAGUGAGGACUUCCUCUCCUUUCAACCCAUGCAAAAGAGGCUGGACAUCUUCCUGAGCAGCGCCAUGGAGCCUUAUCCCGAGCUGUGGGCCUUCUGCAAGAAGCUGCUCAUCCUCUCCCACGGUCAAGCUACAGUUGAGCGUGGAUUCUCAAUCAAUAAAGAGGUGGAGUCUGAUAACUUGGAGGAGGAUACUGUGGUCACACGGAGACUGGUGUGUGACUUCAUCAUACAACAUGGAGGUGUUACCAAGGUUCCACUCAGUAAACCGCUACUGGAAAGUGUAGCAAGGGCAAGGACAAGGUAUCGUACCCAUCUGGAGACCAAAAGAAGGAACAGGGAGGCAAAAGAGCAGGCUCUCAAGAGGAGGGAAGCAGAGGACUGUCUUGAGGAGCUGAAGGUUAAGAGGAGACGUGUACAGGAGGUAUCUGAGGGUCUGGCUAGGGAUGCGGACAAGAUGGCUGAGGAGGCUGAAGCGAAGGCAGGGAGCAAGAUGGCUGGCCUGAUCAUGUUGGGCAAAAUAACCUGCUGAGUACAUCACAUGUACAUUAUAAAUAUAGCUAACUCCUACCCUAGCUUAAUGAGCACAUCACAUGGCAGUCACCUUACAAUAUAGUCAACUUUUAACACAUAACACAUACAUGAGAAUAUAGUCAGGUCAAGGCCGGAGCCGAAGGCCCCAUUUCCCAGGCUGGCAGAUGGUAGACACUCAGACAAUGCACCAGUCAUCCUCAAGAACGGGAGGACCACAACAGGAGAUGCUCUGAAGCUCUCCCCCGUGAGGAGGAACACAAGAAGAUAUGCAUGCAUACACUAGUGCCUGGGAGCCAAGGUCAAGUAAAAACACACAGAACCACACACAUCUCAAACGCACACACCUCAUCACAAGGAGAUACAGCAUAAGACUGUAUCACUCUGGGACUCUUCACCUUCUUCUGAAGCAGACCUUCCACGGAGGCGAAGCUCCGGACGAACCAUCAGCGCUGAUUAGGGACUUAGACAUAUUCGAUUUCUCACGCUUAUGACUCUGUAUAACCGUUGCCACUUUACUUAAUAAAUCCAAGGUCCUCGUGCCGACAGACUUUAUUACCUCUCCGUCUCAUUUCAUCUGGUCCAGUAACUAGACAGACCGUUUUUCCCUUCACC
RNAcentral lists this long non-coding RNA (2919 nucleotides) under Gadus morhua (Atlantic cod). RNAcentral's name for it is "lncRNA (ENSGMOG00000033696.1)". Lineage: Eukaryota; Metazoa; Chordata; Actinopteri; Gadiformes; Gadidae. The record is from RNAcentral.